Long non-coding RNA from Haliotis rufescens (red abalone), 2396 nucleotides. RefSeq lists it as uncharacterized. The transcript has 2 exons. NCBI's taxonomy places the organism in Eukaryota, Metazoa, Mollusca, Gastropoda, Lepetellida, Haliotidae. The record is from RefSeq and is a predicted model, not a curated record.
CAUGCUGUCAGUUACACUACAUGGUAACAUGCUGUCAGUUACACUACAUGGUAACAUCCUGUCAGUUACACUUUAUGGUAAUAUGCUGUCAGUUACACUAGAUGGUAACUUGCUGUCACCAUUCCCUUCGGAUUCACAUAUCGCUUUAAUAUGUGGAACUGUAAUGAUCGUUAUUGCUAACUAGAAUUUCAAAAUUAAAUACUUCCCUGUGUCAUUUCUUUAGCACACUACAGUUUAAAAUGCUUACGUUAAUCUAGCUCCAGACGAACACACCCUUUACCAACAUAAUAAGCACAGAUCAUGUAGCCAGGGAAAAUGCCUUUGUAAACAUUGUUUUCCCAUCGUUAUGCUGUAAGGUUUUGUAAGAAGGUGACCUCUACUGCCGCCAUCUCAGUUUUUGAAACCACGCCAUGCUUUGACGUCUAAGAUAUUUCAUAUCAAGUAUGUCAAGAAAACAUCGUUUGCAUUACCCUCAAGAAGCAUUAUAUACUGGAGGUGUGGCGGGCUCACAAUCUGAUUAGGCCGCGAGUGACCUAUGUAUAAGAUCAAAGUCACAGUGCAAGUGAUUUGUAAAGUACCUUUACUAUUUUCACGAAAUUGACCUUUCCUAUAGACAUUUUCAAGUCGUAUGAUUAAUUGUCUUAGUUUAUUUGCUGUAUAACGCUUGUGAAUGUUCAUGAAACACAUGUCACUAAUAUUGAAGGUCAACUUCACCCUCAUAUGCCUGGUAGUAUGUUCAUGGCAUGCAAUGUUUACUGUCCCUUGGUACUGAAGUUUUAAGGAUUUGACUGACCAUCAUUAUAGGUCAAGGUCACUGGUCAAACUCAUGCAUUCAGUGACACCUGAAAGUAAGGAAAUCCGUUAAAGCGGAAAUCCAGGAGUUUCUUAUGAAGGUGUCAAGAGGCAAGAUACUCUCUGUUGUAAAGAUGUACUGCAUUUGGCAUGUGUCUUUUUCCAAACCGGAAGUCCAAUUGGCUUUCUUUUUAAAUAAGUUUCAGGCAAUGUAGUUUCUGUUUAAAAGCUAUGUUUCCCCCAACUGUAUGUCCAUAUGGGAAUUCACUUAAGUUUCUUAUUCAGGAAGCUAGGGGCACAGGGCUUUUAGCGUUGCACUUCAUAUGUAUCUUUUCCAAACCGGAAAUCAUGUCAUCAAACCAGAAGUGCAUACAAUCUAGAGGCAUAGGUCAUUCUGGUUUAAUACUACUGCGUUGAACAUGUUUUCACAAACCAGAAAUCUGGUCGUUUGACUGGUAGUGAUGUCAUUAGAGCUGAAUAUAAUUGUCGUAUUUAAGUAGUGGUAGGAAUGGGACUUUCGGGCUUUAGAACGUGUACGUGUGUUCUUAGAUCACAAGUAAUUCAUUAGACUGCAGCUGCAUGUAGGUUCCUCGUUAGCUGGAGGUAGACCUGUGUAUAUCAGACUGCAGCUGCAUGUAGGUUCCUCGUUAGCUGGAGGUAGACCUGUGUAUAUCAAACUGAAACUGCAUGUAGGUUCCUCGUUAGCUGGAGGUAGACCUGUGUAUAUCAGACUGCAGCUGCAUGUAGGUUCCUCGUUAGCUGGAGGUAGACCUGUGUAUAUCAGACUGCAGCUGCAUGUAGGUUCCUCGUUAGCUGGAGGUAGACCUGUGUAUAUCAGACUGCAGCUGCAUGUAGGUUCCUCGUUAGCUGGAGGUGGACCUGUGUAUAUCAGACUGCAGCUGCAUGUAGGUUCCUCAUUAGCUGGAGGUAGACCUGUGUAUAUCAGACUGCAGCUGCAUGUAGGUUCCUCGUUAGCUGGAGGUAGACCUGUGUAUAUCAGACUGCAGCUGCAUGUAGGUUCAUCGUUAGCUGGAGGUAGACCUGUGUAUAUCAGACUGGAACUGCAUGACAGUGUAAAUAAUGUCUGAAGCAAUCAUAUUUCUAGUUUGUAACACUCUUGAUUGUUAUCUGGCUCAUUUUGAGUGUCAUCAUUGCCUAAUUGCGCGGAACAAUUAGUGACAAGUUUAUAUAUUCCAAGACUGAAUGCAUUUCACAGUUCGCUUCACGUUACCCGAGAUACAACCAACUCAUCAUUCAUAUCAGCGUUACCCUGUACAUCAAAACAAAGUAUCAACAUGUCGAAAAAUACAAACUCUCUCCACUGUGAGGUCUGUAACGCUCACACAACACAUCGGCACAUGCACGCAUCUUUGGUGAGUUGUUACAUCCUAAUGAAAACUCCUGAUAUAGGUGAACACCCCCUCGUAUUUCCUCGUAGCGGAGACCUGAUGUUUAAUUACACAUCUCUAUAUUUUUAACUAUAUAUUAUCUUUACAUACAUGUGUGUUACUGGUCUAAUUGGAUUGUGAUAUUGUUGUUUUUGUAGUUGUUUACAAACUUUCUGAUAUAUUUGAAAUGCCAUAAAUACAACGUCUUAAAAUCUC